Long non-coding RNA from Oreochromis aureus, 1602 nucleotides. RefSeq lists it as uncharacterized. Lineage: Eukaryota; Metazoa; Chordata; Actinopteri; Cichliformes; Cichlidae. The transcript is spliced from 2 exons. The record is from RefSeq and is a predicted model, not a curated record.
CUUUCCUAUGAAAGAGAAAAGACCAACUAUGUGAAUUCGGGUUGGCCAGCGUUCUUAGUAAGAGGUCCACGAUCCUGGGGAACGAGGAGGAAUCUCUGACCGGCACUUAUAUCAUCAUAACCAGUCUCUUCCAGGUUGAAACCAGGCGACUGGAUCCUGAUCAAGGUACUCCAGAGGAAAAACUGGAGCUCUCCGAGGUGGGAGGGCCCUUUUCAGGUCCUGCUAACGACGCCAACAGCGUGCAAGAUCGCUGAAAGACCUUCGUGGAUCCACCAGAGCCACACCAAAAAAGUACAAGGGGACACAAGCCCAGACGCCAGUUCACCUGUCAUCUAGUGAUCUGUAAGUAAAGGAGAGGGCAGAUCGGGUAUACCCCGCCCUCUUAACUUUUCGCUUUCAGUCGACACACUAGGUGAUCUGGUGAACUUGGUCGACCUGAAGAAACCCCAUUGUAGCCCGAGCACCGACCUAGCCCCACCUGCCCGGUAGAGUAACAGGAGAUCAGUCCGACCUGCAAAACCAGAAGAGCAACCCAUCACUCAAGUAACUACUCAGACACUUAUAAACAAUGCCCGACACAGAUGUGCAAAAUGAACAUUCAGACAUUUCAGAUGGAGAGGACCCAGUCCCCAACAGGACUCGACGACGAUGCUGGUCAGAGGAAUGCCAACUAAUGCAUAAUUAUGUACCCCAUAACAAAAUUGAAAUGGCAUUCCUUGUAAACCUACUACAAACUCUAGAAACAGUAAUGAAUACAAGUCUGCGUGCAUGUGCUCCAAAAGAACCAAUAAAGAACUUAACAACACUUCCGGUCACACCGCCCGAACUAGCCCAUAACAUGACCAUGGUCUGCCUAUGGAGACUUAGAGUCCCAGAAAAGCAGGGUGUAUCUUUUGUUUAUCCAAAUAAGACACUGCAACCGGAAUCUUCCUGGCACAAGCUUAUAGCCCGAUAGCAACUGAAGAAGAAGAAGACUGUGUGUAAGAAUUUCUUGUACUUAACAUGACGUAGCAAUUGAAAAUGUGCAAACAAGUGAUUGUCUACUGAAGCCUAUGAAGUACGAGUGAAAUAUAUUAACAACAGGAGGGAAUGUUAUGAGAUUCUAUGUUUUUAUGUGUUUUAUUCUUUGUUUUAUUAUCUUUUAAUAUUCAAGCAUAUUGUAAAGUGUUUAUAUAUUUCACAGAAUUUGCUGUACUUCCCCAUGUCACAAGAUUCGAUGUAUUGCUCCAUUGUCAUGCAACCCGACAGUGAACUCUGCAAUACAAAUAGUUUAAGCGGGAAACAGAUGCGGGUCACCCAGACUACAAUAGAAAACGGAUGAGGCACCUAAACCACAACAGGAAAACAGAUGCGUGACUCCCUAACCACAAAAGAUUAAGUCAGCGCCACGUCUUUUAGAAAGAAGCAGACACACACACACAUAUACAACUGUUGGUUUAAAGGAAUUUGUAAAAGAGGAAAUGUGACGUAUUUGCAUACACGAUGUAAACUAUAAAUAAAGAGCCAUCGCCUGCACUCGGUGUGGGUCUCGCCAGAGUCCUCACCCGUGCGUGAGUCUCGUCAGAGUGCUCACCCGUGCACGUUAAUGUUAUUACAUUCUAA